GAUGAAGAACGCAGCGAAAUGCGAUAAGUAGUGUGAAUUGCAGAAUUCAGUGAAUCAUCGAAUCUUUGAACGCAUAUUGCGCUCUCUGGUAUUCCGGAGAGCAUGCUUGUUUGAGUAUCAGUAAACACCUCAACUCCCCUUUCUUUUUUUGAAAUGGGAGCUGGACUUGAGUGAUCCCAACGCUUUUCUCACCGAAAAGUGGCGGGUUACUUGAAAUGCAGGUGCAGCUGGACUUUUCUCUGAGCUAAAAGCAUAUCUAUUUAGUCUGCCUAAAAAACAGAUUAUUACCUUUGCUGCAGCUAACAUAAAGGAGAUUAGUUCUUGUGCUGACUGAUGCAGGAUUCACAGAGACAGCUUCGGCUGGCCUUUGUAAACUCGAUCUCAAAUCAAGUAAGACUACCCGCUGAACUUAAGCAUAUCAAUAAGCGGAGGA
This 433-nucleotide unclassified non-coding RNA is filed under the name soil metagenome. RNAcentral's name for it is "partial contains 5.8S ribosomal RNA, internal transcribed spacer 2, and large subunit ribosomal RNA". The stretch from base 1 to 120 matches the Rfam family "5.8S ribosomal RNA", at positions 35 to 154 of the family's 154-position model. The record is from RNAcentral.